UGGCUCUCGCAUCGAUGAAGAACGCAGCGAAAUGCGAUAAGUAAUGUGAAUUGCAGAUUUACAGUGAAUCAUCGAAUCUUUGAACGCACCUUGCGCUCCUUGGUAUUCCGAGGAGCAUGCCUGUUUGAGUGUCAUUAAAUUAUCAACCCCCAUGAGCGAUUUGUUUCGAUCACGGUGGGCUUGGAUUUGGAGUGUGCUGGUCCCACUAUUGCCGGAUCGGCUCCUCUUUAAAUGAAUCAGCGGAGUGUCAAUUGACCUUUUCCCGGUGAUCGGUGUGAUAAUCUUGUUACGCCGUUUUCUGGAGGUCUACUUGUCCGCUUAUAAUCGUCCCUCUACCCGGACAAAACUUGUUGACCAAUUUGACCUCAAAUCAGGUAGGACUACCCGCUGA
This 391-nucleotide unclassified non-coding RNA is filed under the name uncultured fungus. Its description in RNAcentral is "partial contains 5.8S ribosomal RNA and internal transcribed spacer 2". The stretch from base 1 to 134 matches the Rfam family "5.8S ribosomal RNA", at positions 22 to 154 of the family's 154-position model. The record is from RNAcentral. Lineage: Eukaryota; Fungi.